AGCCUUCUGUAUUUGUGCUGAGAUUUCAUCACACACCAGACCACAAGAGCUAAUGAGACUUUUAAGAUAAGUGAAGCG
Molecule: microRNA precursor, 78 nt
Filed under: Schistosoma margrebowiei
Lineage: Eukaryota; Metazoa; Platyhelminthes; Trematoda; Strigeidida; Schistosomatidae
Description: mir-3492 microRNA precursor family
Rfam family: mir-3492 microRNA precursor family
Source: Rfam by way of RNAcentral